RNAcentral lists this ribosomal RNA (253 nucleotides) under uncultured bacterium. RNAcentral's name for it is "partial 16S ribosomal RNA". It matches the Rfam family "Bacterial small subunit ribosomal RNA", at positions 524 to 776 of the family's 1533-position model. The record is from RNAcentral.
UACGUAGGGUGCAAGCGUUGUCCGGAAUUACUGGGCGUAAAGGGCUCGUAGGCGGCCAACUAAGUCCGACGUGAAAUCCCAAGGCUUAACCUUGGAACUGCGUCGGAUACUGGAUGGCUUGAAUUCGGGAGAGGGAUGCAGAAUUCCAGGUGUAGCGGUGAAAUGCGUAGAUAUCUGGAGGAAUACCGGUGGCGAAGGCGGCAUCCUGGACCGACAUUGACGCUGAUGAGCGAAAGCUAGGGGAGCAAACGGG